This 96-nucleotide ribosomal RNA is filed under the name Stegodyphus mimosarum. Its description in RNAcentral is "5.8S ribosomal RNA". It matches the Rfam family "5.8S ribosomal RNA". From Rfam's summary of the family: 5.8S ribosomal RNA (5.8S rRNA) is a component of the large subunit of the eukaryotic ribosome. It is transcribed by RNA polymerase I as part of the 45S precursor that also contains 18S and 28S rRNA. The record is from Rfam by way of RNAcentral. Lineage: Eukaryota; Metazoa; Arthropoda; Arachnida; Araneae; Eresidae.
AACUCUGACCAGUGGAUCACUCGGCUCACGGGUCGAUGAAAAAAUGCUGAAUUUGAGCACUGAUUUUUCGAACUCGCAUCGCCUGUCUGAGGGUCG